GACGAACGCUGGCGGCGUGCUUAACACAUGCAAGUCGAACGGAAAGGCCCUGCUUUUGUGGGGUGCUCGAGUGGCGAACGGGUGAGUAACACGUGAGUAACCUGCCCUUGACUUUGGGAUAACUUCAGGAAACUGGGGCUAAUACCGGAUAGGAGCUCCUGCUGCACGGUGGGGGUUGGAAAGUUUCGGCGGUUGGGGAGGGGCUCGCGGCUUAUCAGCUUGUUUGUGGGGUAGUGGCUUACCAAGGCUUUGACGGGUAGCCGGCCUGAGAGGGUGACCGGCGACCUUGGGACUGAGGUACGGCCCAGACUGCUACGGGAGGCAGCAGUGGGAAAUAUUGCACAAUGGGCGGAAGCCUAAUGAAGCAACGCCGCGUGUGGGAUGACGGCCUUCGGGUUGUAAACCGCUUUCGCCUGUGACGAAGCGUGAGUGACGGUAAUGGGUAAAGAAGCACCGGCUAACUACGUG
Molecule: ribosomal RNA, 468 nt
Filed under: uncultured bacterium
Lineage: Bacteria
Description: partial 16S ribosomal RNA
Rfam family: Bacterial small subunit ribosomal RNA
Source: RNAcentral